UACAGAGGUCUCAACCGUUGUUCGGAUUCAUUGGGCGUAAAGGGUGCGUAGGCGGUCGUGCAAGUCGGAUGUGAAAUCUCAGGGCUCAACCCUGAAACUGCAUUCGAUACUGCGUGGCUAGAGUGCUGGAGAGGAGACUGGAAUUUACGGUGUAGCAGUGAAAUGCGUAGAUAUCGUAAGGAAGACCAGUGGCGAAGGCAGCCCCCUGGGAUAAUAUUGACGCUCAUGCACGAAAGCGUGGGGAGCAAACAGG
Molecule: ribosomal RNA, 253 nt
Filed under: uncultured bacterium
Lineage: Bacteria
Description: partial 16S ribosomal RNA
Rfam family: Bacterial small subunit ribosomal RNA
Source: RNAcentral